RNAcentral lists this ribosomal RNA (113 nucleotides) under Streptomyces sp. Root55. Lineage: Bacteria; Bacillati; Actinomycetota; Actinomycetes; Kitasatosporales; Streptomycetaceae. The record is from RNAcentral.
UUCGGUGGUCAUUGCGUUAGGGAAACGCCCGGUUACAUUCCGAACCCGGAAGCUAAGCCUUUCAGCGCCGAUGGUACUGCAGGGGGGACCCUGGAAACGCCCGGUUACAUUCC